UGGGGAAUAUUGCACAAUGGGCGCAAGCCUGAUGCAGCCAUGCCGCGUGUGUGAAGAAGGCCUUCGGGUUGUAAAGCACUUUCAGCGAGGAGGAAGGUGGUGAGCUUAAUACGCUCAUCAAUUGACGUUACUCGCAGAAGAAGCACCGGCUAACUCCGUGCCAGCAGCCGCGGUAAUACGGAGGGUGCAAGCGUUAAUCGGAAUUACUGGGCGUAAAGCGCACGCAGGCGGUUUGUUAAGUCAGAUGUGAAAUCCCCGGGCUCAACCUGGGAACUGCAUUUGAAACUGGCAAGCUAGAGUCUCGUAGAGGGGGGUAGAAUUCCAGGUGUAGCGGUGAAAUGCGUAGAGAUCUGGAGGAAUACCGGUGGCGAAGGCGGCCCCCUGGACGAAGACUGACGCUCAGGUGCGAAAAGCGUGGGGAGCAAAACAGGAUUAGAUACCCUGGUAGUCCAGCGCUGUAAAACGAUGUCGAUUUUGGAGGUUGUGCCCCUUGAGGCGUGGCUUCCGGAGCUAACGCGUUAAAUCGACCGCCUGGGGAGUACGGCCGCAAGGUUAAAAACUCAAAAGGAAUUGACGGGGUC
Molecule: ribosomal RNA, 581 nt
Filed under: uncultured bacterium
Lineage: Bacteria
Description: partial 16S ribosomal RNA
Rfam family: Bacterial small subunit ribosomal RNA
Source: RNAcentral